This 460-nucleotide ribosomal RNA is filed under the name uncultured bacterium. RNAcentral's name for it is "partial 16S ribosomal RNA". It matches the Rfam family "Bacterial small subunit ribosomal RNA", at positions 338 to 795 of the family's 1533-position model. The record is from RNAcentral.
CCUACGGGUGGCAGCAGUGAGGAAUAUUGGUCAAUGGACGAGAGUCUGAACCAGCCAAGUAGCGUGAAGGAUGACUGCCCUAUGGGUUGUAAACUUCUUUUAUAUGGGAAUAAAAUGUUCCACGUGUGGGCUUUUGUAUGUACCAUAUGAAUAAGGAUCGGCUAACUCCGUGCCAGCAGCCGCGGUAAUACGGAGGAUCCGAGCGUUAUCCGGCAUUAUUGGGUUUAAAGGGAGCGUAGGUGGAUUGUUAAGUCAGUUGUGAAAGUUUGCGGCUCAACCGUAAAAUUGCAGUUGAAACUGGCAGUCUUGAGUACAGUAGAGGUGGGCGGAAUUCGUGGUGUAGCGGUGAAAUGCUUAGAUAUCACGAAGAACUCCGAUUGCGAAGGCAGCUCACUGGACUGCAACUGACACUGAGGCUCGAAAGUGUGGGUAUCAAACAGGAUUAGAUACCCUUGUAGUC